Molecule: non-coding RNA, 462 nt
Organism: Sorex fumeus (smoky shrew)
Lineage: Eukaryota; Metazoa; Chordata; Mammalia; Eulipotyphla; Soricidae
Source: the annotation of a RefSeq genome assembly
AUGGAAAAUCAUGGUGGUGGAUGGUGCAAUGGUGGUGAGAAUGGUGUUGGAAUGCUGACAGUCGGGUCAGUGUCUGUGACACCCAGAGUGGACAUGAGGGCCCCUGUGCAGCUCCUCAGCUUCCUGCUGAUCUGGCUCCCGGGUUCCUGGUGUAAUAUUCAGAUGACCCAGUCUCCAUCCGUGUCUGCAUCUCUGGAAGAGAAAGUCACCAUCACCUGCAAGGCCAGUCAGAAUAAUUACCAUCAUUUAGCCUGGUACCAGCAGAAAACAGGGAAAGCUCCCAGGCUCCUGAUCUAUGGUGCCAGCAAUUUAGGACCAGAUGUCCCUUCCCGAUUCAGUGCCAGUAUAUCUGGGACAGAAUUCAUUCUCGCCAUCAGCAGCCUGAAGUCUGAGGAUGCUGUCACUUAUUACUGUCAACGGCAUAGUAGUUUCCCUCUCACAGUGAUACAGGCCAGAACAUAA